Molecule: small nuclear RNA, 117 nt
Filed under: Peromyscus maniculatus bairdii (prairie deer mouse)
Lineage: Eukaryota; Metazoa; Chordata; Mammalia; Rodentia; Cricetidae
Description: U5 spliceosomal RNA (ENSPEMG00000025146.1)
Rfam family: U5 spliceosomal RNA
About the family: U5 RNA is a component of both types of known spliceosome. The precise function of this molecule is unknown, though it is known that the 5' loop is required for splice site selection and p220 binding, and that both the 3' stem-loop and the Sm site are important for Sm protein binding and cap methylation.
Source: Rfam by way of RNAcentral
AUACUCUGGUUUCUCUUCAGAUCGUAUAAAUCUUUCGCCUUUUACUAAAGAUUUCCGUGGAGAGGAACAAUUCUGAGUCUUAAACCAAAUUUUUUGAGGCCUUGCUCUGGCGAGGCU